AAAAGGGCAGUAGUGUCCAAACAAUAGCAUCUAGGGUUUCCGACAGUAGACAAAAAUAGGGUUGUGAACUAAGGGUUUUGGCAUAUGACAUAUCGUCUUCGCCAUUGGCAUGCGAAAUCUACUGCUAGUAUCUUUUGGUUUAUUGGCGUUGUGGCUGAUUUGUGGUCCAAAAACUCAGUUUUGUUUAUUUUUCAUGAAGAAGGC
RNAcentral lists this long non-coding RNA (204 nucleotides) under Gossypium barbadense (sea-island cotton). Its description in RNAcentral is "long non-coding RNA (GBAR_LNC004848)". Lineage: Eukaryota; Viridiplantae; Streptophyta; Magnoliopsida; Malvales; Malvaceae. The record is from RNAcentral.